CCUACGGGUGGCUGCAGUCGGGAAUUUUGGGCAAUGGGCGAAAGCCUGACCCAGCAACGCCGCGUGAAGGAUGAAGUCUUUCGGGAUGUAAACUUCGAAAGAAUAGGAAGAAUUAAUGACGGUACUAUUUAUAAGGUCCGGCUAACUACGUGCCAGCAGCCGCGGUAAUACGUAGGGACCAAGCGUUGUUCGGAUUUACUGGGCGUAAAGGGCGCGUAGGCGGCGUGGUAAGUCACUUGUGAAAUCUCUGAGCUUAACUCAGAACUGCCAAGUGA
This 275-nucleotide ribosomal RNA is filed under the name uncultured bacterium. RNAcentral's name for it is "partial 16S ribosomal RNA". It matches the Rfam family "Bacterial small subunit ribosomal RNA", at positions 338 to 630 of the family's 1533-position model. The record is from RNAcentral.